This 433-nucleotide ribosomal RNA is filed under the name uncultured bacterium. RNAcentral describes it as "partial 16S ribosomal RNA". It matches the Rfam family "Bacterial small subunit ribosomal RNA", at positions 29 to 507 of the family's 1533-position model. The record is from RNAcentral.
AACGAACGCUGGCGGCAUGCCUAACAUAUGCAAGUCGAACGAUCCCUUCGGGGAUAGUGGCGCACGGGUGCGUAACGCGUGGGAACCUGCCCUUAGGUUCGGAAUAACUCAGAGAAAUUUGAGCUAAUACCGGAUAAUGUCUUCGGACCAAAGAUUUAUCGCCUUUGGAUGGGCCCGCGUUGGAUUAGCUAGUUGGUGGGGUAAAGGCCUACCAAGGCGACGAUCCAUAGCUGGUCUGAGAGGAUGAUCAGCCACACUGGGACUGAGACACGGCCCAGACUCCUACGGGAGGCAGCAGUGGGGAAUAUUGGACAAUGGGCGAAAGCCUGAUCCAGCAAUGCCGCGUGAGUGAUGAAGGCCUUAGGGUUGUAAAGCUCUUUUACCCGGGAUGAUAAUGACAGUACCGGGAGAAUAAGCCCCGGCUAACUCCGUG